Molecule: ribosomal RNA, 444 nt
Filed under: uncultured bacterium
Lineage: Bacteria
Description: bacterial SSU rRNA
Rfam family: Bacterial small subunit ribosomal RNA
Source: RNAcentral
CCAGACUCCUACGGGAGGCAGCAGUGGGGGAUAUUGCACAAUGGGGGAAACCCUGAUGCAGCGACGCCGCGUGGGUGAAGAAGCGCCUCGGCGCGUAAAGCCCUGUCGGCAGGGAAGAAAAUGACGGUACCUGAAGAAGAAGCCCCGGCUAACUACGUGCCAGCAGCCGCGGUAAUACGUAGGGGGCAAGCGUUAUCCGGAUUUACUGGGUGUAAAGGGAGCGUAGACGGUGAUGCAAGUCAGAAGUGAAAGCCCGCGGCUCAACUGCGGGACUGCUUUUGAAACUGUAUAACUAGAGUGCAGGAGAGGUAAGCGGAAUUCCUAGUGUAGCGGUGAAAUGCGUAGAUAUUAGGAGGAACACCAGUGGCGAAGGCGGAUGACUGGACGGCAACUGACGGUGAGGCGCGAAAGCGUGGGGAGCAAACAGGAUUAGAUACCCUUGUA